UACGUAGGGACCAAGCGUUGUUCGGAUUUACUGGGCGUAAAGGGCGCGUAGGCGGCGAAUCAAGUCAGCUGUGAAAUCUCCGAGCUUAACUCGGAACGGUCAGCUGAUACUGUUUUGCUAGAGUGCAGAAAGGGCAACCGGAAUUCUUGGUGUAGCGGUGAAAUGCGUAGAUAUGAAGAGGAACACCUGAGGCGAAGGCGGGUUGCUAGGCUGACACUGACGCUGAAGCGCGAAAGCUAGGGGAGCAAACGGG
This 253-nucleotide ribosomal RNA is filed under the name uncultured bacterium. RNAcentral's name for it is "partial 16S ribosomal RNA". It matches the Rfam family "Bacterial small subunit ribosomal RNA", at positions 524 to 776 of the family's 1533-position model. The record is from RNAcentral.